UUGUUAUUCGUACAGGACGAGAGGAGUCUCCAUACGAGGAGAACCACGAGCGACGUCAGGAUUGACCGCAUAUUAUUGCAGUACUGUUGCUCGGUGUACGAGGGUGAGCCAUAGUGACCGUACCUGCUUCCGCCAUCACAUUCUGCACUAUGGCUCGUAAUCGCCGAGCACGUAGGGAAACUCCUCCUAUUGAAGAUGAUGAACAGAUGCCUAGGAGGUUUGCGGAUACUUUUGGGCAGUUCUUUCGACAGAUUGCUGCAGCGCUUCCCGGG
Molecule: long non-coding RNA, 272 nt
Organism: Rosa rugosa (rugosa rose)
Lineage: Eukaryota; Viridiplantae; Streptophyta; Magnoliopsida; Rosales; Rosaceae
Exons: 3
Source: RefSeq, a predicted model, not a curated record